GUGAGGAAUAUUGGACAAUGGAUGGAAAUCUGAUCCAGCCAUGCCGCGUGCAGGAAGACGGCCCUAUGGGUUGUAAACUGCUUUUAUACGGAGCAAUAAGGUCUAUGCAUAGAUUGAUGAGAGUACCGUAUGAAUAAGCAUCGGCUAACUCCGUGCCAGCAGCCGCGGUAAUACGGAGGAUGCGAGCGUUAUCCGGAUUUAUUGGGUUUAAAGGGUGCGUAGGCGGCUUUGUAAGUCAGCGGUGAAAUUUUGCAGCUUAACUGUAAAAGCGCCGUUGAUACUGUGAAGCUAGGAUUUGGUUGCUGUGGGCGGAAUGUGUGGUGUAGCGGUGAAAUGCAUAGAGAUCACACAGAAUAUCGAUUGCGAAGGCAGCUCACAAAGCCAAUAUUGACGCUGAGGCACGAAAGUGUGGGGAUCAAACAGGAUUAGAUACCCUAGUAGUCC
Molecule: ribosomal RNA, 444 nt
Filed under: uncultured bacterium
Lineage: Bacteria
Description: partial 16S ribosomal RNA
Rfam family: Bacterial small subunit ribosomal RNA
Source: RNAcentral